This 253-nucleotide ribosomal RNA is filed under the name uncultured bacterium. Its description in RNAcentral is "partial 16S ribosomal RNA". It matches the Rfam family "Bacterial small subunit ribosomal RNA", at positions 524 to 776 of the family's 1533-position model. The record is from RNAcentral.
UACGGAGGGGGUUAGCGUUGUUCGGAAUCACUGGGCGUAAAGCGCUCGUAGGUGGCUUUGUAAGUCAGAUGUGAAAGCCCACGGCUCAACCGUGGAAUUGCAUUUGAUACUGCAUCGCUAGAGUAUAGGAGAGGGAAGUGGAAUUUCUGGUGUAGGAGUGAAAUCCGUAGAGAUCAGAAGGAACACCCGUGGCGAAGGCGACUUCCUGGACUAUUACUGACACUGAGGAGCGAAAGCGUGGGGAGCAAACAGG